UCGUGUGUGAGUGCUGGGUCGAGUCGGCCAUCCUUCGUUUAUGGUUAGCUGCUCUUUAUUGAGUGGUUAACUCGUGGACGAUCGUUUACUUUGAAAAAAUUAGAGUGUUUCAAGCAGGCUUUAGCUUUGAAUACAUGAGCAUGGAAUAAUAAAGUAGGACUUCGGUUCUAGUUUGUUGGUUUGGAGAGCUGAAGUAAUGAUGGAUAGGGACAGUUGGGGGUGCUAGUAUUCAGCGGCCAGAGGUGAAAUUCUUGGAUUCGCUGAAGACUCACUACGGCGAAAGCAUUCACCAAGGAUGUCUUCUUUAAUCAAGAACGAAAGUUGGGGGAUCGAAGACGAUCAGAUACCGUUGUAGUCUCAACCAUAAACGAUGCCGACUAGGGAUGAGUGAUCGUUGUUUUUUCGACUUCAUUCGCACCUUAGGAGAAAUCAAAGUCUUUGGGUUCCGGGGGGAGUAUGGUCGCAAGGCUGAAACUUAAAGGAAUUGACGGAAGGGCACCACCAGGAGUGGAGCCUGCGGCUUAAUUUGACUCAACACGGGAAAACUUACCAGGUCCAGACACAGUUAGGAUUGACAGAUUGAAGAUCUUUCUUGAUUCUGUGGGUGGUGGUGCAUGGCCGUUCUUAGUUGGUGGAGCGAUCUGUCUGGUUUAUUCCGUUAACGAACGAGACCUCGACCUGCUAAAUAGUUCGGAUCACAUUUCGAUGUGGUUGCGACACUUCUUAGAGGGACUAUCGG
This 739-nucleotide ribosomal RNA is filed under the name uncultured eukaryote. RNAcentral's name for it is "bacterial SSU rRNA". It matches the Rfam family "Eukaryotic small subunit ribosomal RNA", at positions 667 to 1426 of the family's 1831-position model. The record is from RNAcentral.